GUACACUCCUACGGGAGGCAGCAGUGGGGAAUAUUGGACAAUGGGCGCAAGCCUGAUCCAGCCAUGCCGCGUGAGUGAUGAAGGCCCUAGGGUUGUAAAGCUCUUUCACCGGUGAAGAUAAUGACGGUAACCGGAGAAGAAGCCCCGGCUAACUUCGUGCCAGCAGCCGCGGUAAUACGAAGGGGGCUAGCGUUGUUCGGAUUUACUGGGCGUAAAGCGCACGUAGGCGGACUAUUAAGUCAGGGGUGAAAUCCCGGGGCUUAACCCCGGAACUGCCUUUGAUACUGGUAGUCUUGAGUUCGAGAGAGGUGAGUGGAAUUCCGAGUGUAGAGGUGAAAUUCGUAGAUAUUCGGAGGAACACCAGUGGCGAAGGCGGCUCACUGGCUCGAUACUGACGCUGAGGUGCGAAAGCGUGGGGAGCAAACAGGAUUAGAUACCCCUGUAGUCCCA
RNAcentral lists this ribosomal RNA (450 nucleotides) under uncultured organism. RNAcentral describes it as "partial 16S ribosomal RNA". It matches the Rfam family "Bacterial small subunit ribosomal RNA", at positions 331 to 797 of the family's 1533-position model. The record is from RNAcentral.